UUUAGGGAAUUAAUAAAUUGUAUGUAUUUUGAAAUAAGAAUGAAAGUGUGGUAACAGUGUGGCAACAGUUUGAAGUUUGAAGAGGUAUUAUUGAAGAGGUUAACCUUUUUGAUAUUGCAUUGCGUUAACAGGAAAAGUUAUAAUGGCUGCUGCAUGGUGGGUCUUGCAGAUUGCCAAUGAAGAAGAAAGAAAUUUGUUAAAAAUUCGAAGGAAACAACUGCGUGAUGCAUCAAAUCCUUUUGAAGUUCCGGACUCGCAGUUUCUUUCUUUAUAUCGACUUUCAAAAGAUGCUGUAAUGAUAUUGUGUCAAGGUAUACAACCUUACGUGCAAAGAGCUGUAAGACCAACAGCAAUUCCGUUUGAAUUAAAGGUUAGUGAUUAUUAUGGCAAAAUAUUAGCUGUAUUGGCAAAUCAUGGAGGUCGGACACAUGAUGCUAGAGUUUGGAGCUCGUCUCGGUUAUCGAGGCACAUGUUAAACGAAUAUGAAAAUGGAAGAAGAAAUGCAUGGUUAUUAGGAGAUUCUGGCUAUCCUUUAUUGCCAUAUUUAAUGACUCCAAAAUUAAAUGAGGCACCAGGAUCUUCAGGUCAGGUGCGUUAUAUACAGAGGCUCAUGUUAGAGCACGAUGUUGUAUAGAGAGAACAAUAGGUGUAUUAAAAGGGCGUUGGAGAUGUUUGCGAAAAGAAAGAGGCUUACAUUAUCUUCCAGAAUUUGCAGGACUUAUAGUAAAUGCGACUUGCGUACUCCACAAUAUUGCAAAACAUUAUGGCAUUGAGGAUGUUGAAAUAUACAGAGAAGAUAUUGAAGAAGUGAAUAUUGAAGCAGAUGAUAUGAAUGCAAAUAUGCGUAGAAGAGGAAAUGUAGUGCGAGAAACAAUAAUAGAAAGAUAUUUUACAUAAAAAUUGUGUUCUAUAUUUUCUAAUAUACUGAAUAUUUUACAUCAGGAGGCGCGGUCACGACUUGGCGCCAUAACGAUUACAUUGCAUAAAAUAAAAACUAAUAUCACAAUUUUA
This is an RNA transcript of Solenopsis invicta (red fire ant), 1011 nucleotides long. It is a transcript of the gene named putative nuclease HARBI1, with no coding region annotated. NCBI's taxonomy places the organism in Eukaryota, Metazoa, Arthropoda, Insecta, Hymenoptera, Formicidae. The record is from RefSeq and is a predicted model, not a curated record. The transcript is spliced from 6 exons.